UUGCAGUUAAAAAGCUCGUAGUUGGACUUUAGCCAGUAGAACACACUGAGGCAUUGAGUUGUCAAGUGUGGGAGUUGGCGUUUUACCUUGAGGAAACUAGAGUGUUCAAGGCAGGCUAGGCUUGAAUACCGUAGCUGGGGAUAAUCUGGUUAAUAGGGACAGUUGGGGGCAUUGGUACUCAGCAGUCAGAGGUGAAAUUCUUGGAUUUGCUGAAGACCCACUAAUGCGAAAGCAUCUGCCAAGGAUGUUUUCAUUAAUCAAGAACGAAAGUUGGGGGCUCGAAGACGAUCAGAUACCGUCCUAGUCUCAACCAUAAACGAUGCCGACCAGGGAUUGGCGGAUGUUACUUAUAGGACUCCGCCAGCACCUUAUGAGAAAUCAAAGUAUAU
RNAcentral lists this ribosomal RNA (389 nucleotides) under uncultured Dinobryon. Its description in RNAcentral is "partial Eukaryotic small subunit ribosomal RNA". It matches the Rfam family "Eukaryotic small subunit ribosomal RNA", at positions 613 to 1108 of the family's 1831-position model. Lineage: Eukaryota; Chrysophyceae; Chromulinales. The record is from RNAcentral.